AGAUAUUAUCCCCUUGUAGUGUAGUUUAAUAGCUAUCUACAUAAUAACUUAAUAUAAAGUAUAAUAGUUUAUAUUUUAUAAUAUGACGUUAUCAAUUUUGUUUAAUAUUUGAAAAUGUUAGUAUUAGUAAUAUUAGUAUAUGUGCUAAAGGAACUCGGCAAAAAACCCCUCAACUGUUUAUCAAAAACAUAGCUAUAUGAAUUAAUGUAUAGUUAUUUCUGCUCAAUGACUUAAAUAGCCGCAGUACUCUGACUGUGCAAAGGUAGCAUAAUCAGUUGGCUUUUAAUUAGAGUCUGGUAUGAACGAAAAUAUGGGUAGUAACUGUCUUAGCACAUUUUUUCGAACUUAUUAAACAAGUGCAAAUGCUUGUAAUUUAACAAUAGACGAGAAGACCCUAGAAACUUGGACAAGUUUUUGUUGGGGCGACAGAAUUACACUUAACUAAUCUUAUAAUACACGACGCGAUGUUGAAAGAAUAAGUUACUCUAGGGAUAACAGCAUAAUUUUAUUAGUUUGUGACCUCGAUGUUGGACUAGGUACUAUACCCUUAAGGCAAGGAUAUAUUAUGCUCUGUUCGAGCAAAAUUACCUACAUGAUCUGAGUUCAGACCG
This 611-nucleotide ribosomal RNA is filed under the name Helix pomatia (Roman snail). Its description in RNAcentral is "partial 16S ribosomal RNA". It matches the Rfam family "Archaeal large subunit ribosomal RNA", at positions 1513 to 2689 of the family's 2987-position model. Lineage: Eukaryota; Metazoa; Mollusca; Gastropoda; Stylommatophora; Helicidae. The record is from RNAcentral.